Anguilla anguilla (European eel) is the source of this 773-nucleotide long non-coding RNA. RefSeq lists it as uncharacterized. Lineage: Eukaryota; Metazoa; Chordata; Actinopteri; Anguilliformes; Anguillidae. The record is from RefSeq and is a predicted model, not a curated record. The transcript is spliced from 3 exons.
UAGGCAGGAAGCAGUGAAAUAGCAGGAAGCAGCAAUUAUUAUGCGUUUAAUGAAUCUUAGAGUGCAUAAUCUUAAUAAAUAGGUCACAGAACUGCUCAUUCAUGAAUGGAUUUACCCAGACAUAAACUAUGCUUAAAGUGACAACAACUCAAAAAACAAGGACAAUCAAAACAGAGCAGCGCCAUUGCAGGAAAGAGGGACAAACACAGAGGGGUUGCUGCUGGUUCCAGACUUGCUCAAUGUAAUCCCACUCAUGAGGGGAAAGUGCCACCAGAUAAGAACCCAGAUGCCUAAUCCAGACCCUGCCACCGGACCCAAACAUGCUGUGAGCAAGCAAAUGCCUGACAACAUUGCGGAGGCACAAAAUGGAACCCAAUCACCUCACAGAGUGGAUGUUCACUUUAUUUUUCACUCUUUCUCCUACCUUUACCCAAUAUUUUCUAUAUGAAAACUAGUGUGUCGUACCUAAGCACUAUUAUUUAAAAAUUUAUUAAAAAUGAAAAAUCGUUGUUGCUUUCUGAUCAGUUCUGAUGACAUUGCCCACUUAUUUGGUGACAUAGACCAAACAAUCUCCAGCCACACCGCUUCUUUUUUGUUUAGGUCCCUGUAUAAAUUACUAUGCUUUUUUGUUUCAUGUAUUAGCCUGUCUUUGUCCAUGUACAUGAUGUCUCUUGAGUUCAAAUGCAUUUACACCAAUAACAACACUUUGGAGAUGGGGUACACCAGUGAAACAUCAUUGAAAUCAAUAAAGCAAGUGAUGAAACUGAGCUGAA